Molecule: long non-coding RNA, 3037 nt
Filed under: Musa acuminata (dwarf banana)
Lineage: Eukaryota; Viridiplantae; Streptophyta; Magnoliopsida; Zingiberales; Musaceae
Description: long non-coding RNA (MACU_LNC003463)
Source: RNAcentral
AUUUUAGCAAAGCAAUAGUAAAAGAUUUAAAAAUAAGAGUUUGAUCUUUACCUUUGAAAAUAAAAUUCCAUUCAGUAUUACAAGUGUUUAGGUCCUUAGGAAUCAAUGUAGACAACUUAAAAUUAUAUGGGAUAAAAAUCAAGUUUUGUUGGCCAACAAGGCCUUAGCUUUGAUAUUUAACUUUGAUAAUUAGGUUCCGUUCAGUAUUAUGAGUGCUUAGCUCCUCACAGAUGGAUGCAGAUAAAUUUAGAAAUCAAGCAUAUGGGAGAACAAUCAAGACAAAGUAUUUUAUAUUUGGUCAACAAGGCCUGAUAUUCCUGUUCCAAGUAUUGUGUUACCCAAAAAGUGGUUUGUCGACUUAGCCAGUCUAGAACCCAUUGAGUCAAUCGGCUUGACUUGAACUGGACCUGUUUACCUAAUGGGUUCACAAGUCAGAUCCAAGUCAAGAAAUUUUAACUCAUUUAAAGGUUGGGUUGGGUUCAAGUCAAGCAGAUAAUUUCUUUAUGGUAAAUCUCAACCAAUAGUAUGGUUUGGACUUUGCACCCAUGUAGCCAACACAAAUAGUUGGCUCACUAUGGCUUGUUAUUGUUUUGCCUAGCUCAACCAAAGUUACAAAUUUUGCAGGUAGCAAGCAGAAGCAGCAAUUCUCUGAUGAAUAGUGCUAAAAUGGGUAUAAGUCCAAAAUACAAAAUCAUGAUUUUGUACUAUCAAAACAAAUUUAAUUAUCUAGUACAAGAAAUAAGAGUAAAAGUUAUAUUUUAUCAUCAUACAUAUUAGUUAUAAGAAAUUUAAUUAUCUAGUAUAAGAAAUUGUCUUGUCAAGAUCAAACUAGGAUGAUUAUCAUCAUACAUAUUAGUUAUAUUUUCUUAAACAUGUUCAGGCUUGAAUUUUAACAAAGCAAUAGUAAAAGAUUUAAAAAUAAGAGUUUGAACUUUACCUUUGAUAAUAAAAUUCCAUUCGGUAUUAUAAGUGUUUAGGUCCUUAGGAAUCAAUGUAGACAACUUAAAAUUAUAUGGGAUAAAAAUAAAGUUUUGUUGGCCAACAAGGCCUUAGCUUUGAUUUUUAACUUUGAUAAUUAGGUUCCAUUUAGUAUUAUGAGUCCUUGGCUCCGCACAGAUGGAUGCAGAUAAAUUUAGAAAUCAAGCAUAUGGGAGAACAAUCAAGACAAAGUAUUUUAUAUUUGGUCAACAAGGCCUGAUAUUCCUGUUCCAAGUAUCGUGUUAUCCCAAAAAGUGGUUUGUCGACUUAGCCAGUCUAGAACCCACUGAGUCAAUCGGCCUGACUUGAACUGGACCUGUUUACCUAAUGGGUUCACAAGUCAGUUCCAAGUCAAGAAAUUUUAACUCAUUUAAAGGUUGGGUUGGGUUCAGGUCAAGCAUAUAAUUUCUUUAUGGUAAAUCUCAACCAAUAGUAUGGUUUGGACUUUGUACCCAUGUAGCCAACACAAAUAAUUCACCCACUAUGGCUUGUUAUUGUUUUGCCUAGCUCAACCAAAGUUAUAAAUUUUGUCGGUAGAAAGCAGAAGCAGCAUUUCUCUGGUGAAUAGUGCUAAAAUGGUUAUAAGUCCAAAAUACAAAAUCAUGAUUUUGUACUAUCAAAACAAAUUUAAUUAUCUAGUAUAAGAAAUAUCCAGACCGUAUUUUUAAAACUUGUAAUAAUCUUAUGUGGAAGGUGUAUAACAGUCUGGGCAUGGAUUAGUGCUAGUGGUGUAUUACAGUUUAAGCAGGCAGCAGACAUCAAACCAGCACAAACAAGUAACCUUUUCUCAAGCUGUCAAGGGUCAGAACCAAGUUCAAAGUUUGAGAGAUGUCCAUUCAACCUUUAAACCAGACUGUGGUCUAUAUUUAAGUUAGGGUUUACAGGUCAAGAAUCAUUUAAUUUUUCUUCUGCUCCUCAAGCAAUGUCACGAUCUAGAAGAAAGGAGGCGAUUAGAGAAGAAAAACAGAGGAGGAAUAAAAGGAGAUGAAUGUUACUGAAAGGGCAGAGUCCCCAUUCAAGUAUGUCCCUCUUUCUCUCUUUAAUAGCUUGUAGACUGUUAUAAUGUAGUCCAACCCAAACCCUCUCCUAUGAGCCUGAAACAUAGCAAAAGGUUGAUUGGCCCUGGAUUAGCAAAGGUGUUUUCAGACCUAGUGUAGCAUUGGGAUCACUAUAAGAGAUGAAUAUAGGCAAUCAGCACGAUUCAAGGACAGAUUGGUUCAAUCCAUCAUUGCAGCAAAAUUCAGAAGGCUCUGAACAAGGUUUAAAUACCGGUUCAUACUGGUCUGGUAAGUUACCAAAACCAGUUUUGGACAGGCAUUUAAAUCCAUGAAAGAGCCUGUCAAACAUAGUAUAAGCCUUGGACAACAUUUUCUCAGACAAAAGAGUACUAACCACUGUAUCAUUUCGGGAAGGACAAGGGGCCUAUCCAACUUUACAAAGGAAUGGGCAUGGAAAUGAUAUUCACAUGCAACUCAUAGUCAAAUUAGGAAAUGAAACAAAAUUAAAGGAAAGGAAAGGCUUGACCAAGUUUUCUCACCAACUACUAUUAGUAACAGGAUUGGUUUCUAUUUUUCUAUUAUUGUUGGACUGAUAUUCAUCAACAAUAUUAAUAUCUAUUAGAAAGAUUUUAGACUUUUAAGUUGCUGGUGUAUAAGAGUCCCAAUAUAUGUCUAGUUUAGAUAUGGCAAAUUACUUUGCUACUAGUUAUCAUACUUUGAGAGUUCUAGACACAUGUUCGGGCAAAUUGAUAACAUAAGCUUUUUUACUUACAAACUUGUACAUGUAAAAACUUUGAGCCUGAAAGAUUCAUGGAUGUUAUUUUCUUUUCUCUACAAGAUCAAAUUAUCUUAGUAGUUUAGCUCCCAGUUGAUAGCUUUGGAGGCAUUUUCUCCUCAAAUUAAAAAAAAAGAUCCUAGUUAGAAGGAUCAAUUCUAACAUAUAUUAGUACCAUAUUAGUCCAACUAAAAUCCAACACAGGUAGUGGUAUCAGUUUCAAACCUUGAUCCGAACACCAAAUAUUCAUACUUCAUAAGUGGAUGUCACAAAUUUCAAAAUAAAA